UACGGAGGAUCCGAGCGUUAUCCGGAUUUAUUGGGUUUAAAGGGAGCGUAGGCGGGUUGUUAAGUCAGUUGUGAAAGUUUGCGGCUCAACCGUAAAAUUGCAGUUGAUACUGGCAUCCUUGAGUACAGUAGAGGUAGGCGGAAUUCGUGGUGUAGCGGUGAAAUGCUUAGAUAUCACGAAGAACUCCGAUUGCGAAGGCAGCCUGCUGGACUGUAACUGACGCUGAUGCUCGAAAGUGUGGGUAUCAGACAGG
Molecule: ribosomal RNA, 253 nt
Filed under: uncultured bacterium
Lineage: Bacteria
Description: partial 16S ribosomal RNA
Rfam family: Bacterial small subunit ribosomal RNA
Source: RNAcentral